Long non-coding RNA from Lotus japonicus, 2618 nucleotides. RefSeq lists it as uncharacterized. NCBI's taxonomy places the organism in Eukaryota, Viridiplantae, Streptophyta, Magnoliopsida, Fabales, Fabaceae. The record is from RefSeq and is a predicted model, not a curated record. The transcript has 5 exons.
GUCAUUGAAUAGAUAUGCAGGGAAAAUGUUUAAAUAAUAGUUCCAUGACUUUGAAGUCUUGAUGUUUAGAGAUUAUAGAAUGGGAAUGGGAAUUAUUAUCGUGCAUUCUUCCAGCACCGCCCCUUCGCCCAAUUGCCUAUGUGCAGUCCCCCUAUUCUCUAAUGCAUAUUUCAUUGAUGUUUUUUUAGGAUCAUCUGAAGGCUUUCAGAUUCUCCCCAUUCACCACCCUCCCGAAAACCUAUAAACCUCCUCUCUUUUUUGUCCGCCACCGUGUAAGGUGGAGAAGGUGGCGGUGCGGUCUCUGAACAAGCUCCCGUUUGGGCUUCCGAUUCUGCCCCUCCGCUCGAAGUUCCUCACAAAACACAGUUUUUUUUUUUUUGUAAUUUUGUGCAUGUAGAUUAUAAUCGUUAAUUAGACAUCAACCACUACAGUUGUGAUUCGGGUAAAGCUGCAAAGUCUAAUGCUGAAGUCGGAUCAGAUGCAGAUGUGGAGCAAAUAUAACCUAAAUCAUGUGUUUAUCUGUGAGCACAUGUAUGAUCCUGCUACUGGGUCACUCAAGAAGCUGAUAUCAAAGUAACAUACUCAAAGUGGAUGCUACUUCUUCCUUAAGAAAAGAGAAGUGUUUGAAGACGGAAGACUAUGAUUCGCAUUGAUGCAGCGUCUGAUAGCAAAGAUGAAGAGAGAAAAGUAAAGAAGGAGCCUUUUGAGACAAAUCAGAGCUACAACCGUGGGAGAUAAUCAUUAGAUUUGGCACCCCCAUCAUUAGAAAUGUCACCCCACUUACGGAAACUCAGUUUCCGAAAUAUUUCGGAAAUAAGGUUUCCGAAGCAGUUUUUUACUCAAAAGUGUGGUUUUUUACUCAAAAGUGUGGUGUUAGAUGUAUUUUGAACUAAAAAUCACGAAUUAAUUUCGGAAUCUAAGAUUCCGAAAUAAUUCGAAACAUGAAAAUCCGAAAAUUGGGGGUGUGAAAUCUAAUGGUUGGGGUGGCAAAUCUAGCUCUCGUGGGAGAUGGAGAGGAUCUAUGUCGGUGGAAAUGUUAUCUCUCAACAAUUUCUUUUCUGGGUAUUAUAUUUGUUUCAAGUUUCAAAUUUUACACAUGCAGUUUCAAUUUCUCUUUUUGAGACGAUGGGGUUGGUGAACACAAUUUGCAGUAUCUAGCUAAUUUUGCUUUUAUUAUAUUGCUUUUUUUAGCUGCAUUGGGGUCUAUCUGAUUGUCAGAUGGAUUUGUUAAUUUCAUUUCUCCUUUCCUUCCUUGCAAAUUUUAUUUUUCUCAUUUAUUUACAGUCCAAUGUGCAGAUGGUCUUAAUGUGUGACAGGUUGCAGGAAGGGAAGUUGGUUGUGCAGAGACGGAGGUUUGGGACCUGAUCAGAUGGGAUGCAAUCAAUGGCAAGUGUUUUCAUGAAAUAGAGCCAAAACAAUGUGAUUCUGAAGUUGAACUACAUGAACACUUUGGUUCAUAUUAUGAUGACGUUUUUUAGGAGGGUGGAAAAAGAGUCAUUCACAUUCAGUACGAAACUUUCUAGGCAUUACAAGUUCUUAACCUCACAUUUCUUUUAUGGAAUAAUGAAUUUAUAGAAUAUUUGUUUGUUUUGUUCAACAAGAGCUGCCAUAUUGACAUAUGAGGAUUUUCAAUGAAUUUGAAAAGGUUUGCUCUAUCUUCAUCAAAUCAAGGAUUGUGGGGCAUGAUAAGCUAUUAAAGUGGCGAUUAGUGGAGUUGUAAAUGUAAAUGUGAAAGCUUCAAUCCAAGGUGACUCAUUUGGAGAGGUGGCAGAGAUCUCACUUUUUAUUGUACCCGCAAAACAUGCAUAUGGAUGUUUUGUUCUCAUUCAUUCUUCUAAUGCAUUAGUUACUGUACAUACGGUUAAAAACCUUUCAGUGGAGAUAUUGAAAAAAAAUUGUGUUUACUCUCCAACGAGAAAUGUUUGGAGUUUUUGAAUUUUUCUUAUAGAGCUACUUAUUGGAAGAAAGAAUCUUGAUAGCAAGGAAGAGAGGAAAUUAGUCAAGUGAUGUAUGAAUCCACAACUUAAAGUUUGCUAGCCAUCCAAAAGAUGAAAGAAUAGUAGAUCUAGAAGGACAAUAGUCUUAUUAAGUCAAUUGAAUAAGGAAACCAAAUUCACAGGAACGUUAGGUGUCGUUGUCAUGGAUUGAGAAGAAGAAGAAUUCUAAUGGGGAAUAAAUGUGAUUGAAAAAUCUUUGAGAAGGGGAGGGGGACUAAUAAGGUGACACUGAAUUUCUCUGAUGGUGGUUAGGUUGAAUUGUGCAGGACAAAGAAGAAACAGAGAAGGGUAAUCAAUAAAUGCUUAUAACAUUGUCACUAAGAAGAUGGAAGUUUUAGUGUUAGUUUUUUUUUUCUUAUUAUGAGAGGUACAUCUGUUAGGCUAGCAUCUUCAUUGCUGUGGCCUCAAAUUGUCCUCUCCCCCAAAUAUAUUCAUUGGUCUAAGUGUUGCUUUGCAUGGUGAAGCAAUCACACAUCGGAGGGUGGGCAAAAACUACAGGGUAAAAAGCUCUCACGAUGAGGAUUAUUCUACAUGAAAAAAAUUUCAUGUUAAAAUAGGGAGGAACAUUAUACAUGAAAAUAUUUUCAUGUACACAUUAAUAGAAAUACAAAUGUUAAUAAA